CGGACGAACGCAAACCCCGGUCUCCGCCUGCCCCAAUCCCCACUCCAGGCCGUCAUCCCCAACCCACCAUGAGGACAAGGAUGCCGAGCUCAGGCGGCGGCGCUGGUCCGGGCCUCCGAGGGAUCAGACCAUCCUCCGUCGACCUCUGCUUCCUCUUCCUCAAGACCUUGGCCGCCUGGUGCAGGGGAGACCGCAGCUCCGCGCUCGUAGGCCUGCCCAAUCCUCCUCUUGCUCCUCGCGAUGCUCUUCCCUUCCCCCGUCCAGCCCCCGCCAGUGCCGCCUCGCUGUCCCCGCUCGCGGCCAUCUCCAACGCCUCCUCCCACGCCAACGCCCACCCCGGAUGCCACCUUCUUUGACGCGACGUCAUCGACGUCGUCGCUAACAAGUACGGCUGGGACCCCGACACGGAGGUCCGGGUCUGGCCGCUCAACACCGAGGGCGCGCUCAUCGGCGCCGUUCAGCGGUACGAGUUCCGCGCCGGUGCGGGGGGCGCCGCGGUCGCGCUGGCACGGGCCUCUGACGGGGCCGUCAACUGGAGCCGCCCCGAGGCCCCCGCGGUGGAGGAGGUGGUCUGGCCCGACGGGGUCGACUUCGUCGCCGGCGACGGUGCCCUGGCGUUCGGCACCGGCGUCAGGGACAUGGACAUAGUAGGCCCGUUCGAGCUGGUGGUCUCCGAUGGCGCUGGCGGGGGCCUCGCAGAGCUCUAGCUGCCGUCGGUGUCCUGUCUCCGGCGUUCUUGAGCACCACUGGGUCGAGGAAGGAGAAGCCAUCCUAUGGACUAGAACAGUUUGUGUGAGAUUUUAUUUUCUGGUGGGUUUAUUAGCUGGCUUGGAAAUGCUCCCCAUCAACACAAAGAUUGUCAGCCUUUACCCAAUUGCAAGAUCUUCAGAAUAAAAAAGGGGAGACUGAGACCGGUAGAAAAGAGAUUCUUCAGUACACAAUAUAUGCAUCUGUUGAUUUUGCAAUUUCCAGGUUAGAUUAUCUGAAAUAUUCAAGGAUCUCUUGGACAUUUUUUGGGCAUUGUUGAUCCAUGAAUCAGCUGUUUUCGAAUUCGGAAACAGUUGAAUUCCUGGCAAACCAUUUCACCACACAUGUUCAGUUUGUCAUUUUGAGUCCAUGCCCCCUGCUUACACAGCGGCGAGGCCAACCAGGGCGUACAGGGGCGGAGUCAGCAGCUUGGUAGUGCGUCCAUUUAUGCGUGGCGGCCUGCGGAUUUGGGUGCAUGACAGCCGGCCAACAUGCUGUGUGGGCGUGAUGUUAUCGGCAUGUUGUACACGAGUGUUGGCUGCCAGAGGCGCGCGUGGCUGACCGAUAUGUGUGUGGCUCGACGACAAGUGUUGUCGUCAUGAGGCCAGACGACUUGUUGUGCCAAUCCGGUGAGAGCAUCCAAUAGCGGAAAGUCAUCUGAAGAAUCAUGUCCAGUGAGUAGUCCAGCUCCAGCAACAAGACCACAUCUGGUUUCCACGAACAAGCUGGACCAGCGGCAUUGUACUCGGGUAAGCACGUGAAAAUUCUUCCAAUCCAGACAUUUUAUACUGAUAGCUAACAUCAGCUUACUGUGGUUUAUAUGGUCCAUGUAAAGCUGGCAUCGCGCGGCUACACUUCCAGCAAUUUUACUUGCUAACAAAAAUCAAGUAAAACUAAAAGAAUAGUUCUUUA
Molecule: long non-coding RNA, 1659 nt
Organism: Triticum urartu
Lineage: Eukaryota; Viridiplantae; Streptophyta; Magnoliopsida; Poales; Poaceae
Source: RefSeq, a predicted model, not a curated record